Molecule: long non-coding RNA, 664 nt
Organism: Vanessa tameamea
Lineage: Eukaryota; Metazoa; Arthropoda; Insecta; Lepidoptera; Nymphalidae
Exons: 2
Source: RefSeq, a predicted model, not a curated record
UUCUGCUGUAAAAAAUAAUAAAUGUCAGUAGGUAUAACCAAAAAUACUUUAAGCAACAGGAAAACGAGGAAAAUAACUUUUUUCUCAAAAACAUUUUUUAAAACAAAAGAGUAAGACUUAUUAUACCACUUUAUAAUUUAUUUAAUAGUAUGGCAUCUGUUAGCAAAACGAGAAAUUAAUUUCCAGAAUUAUUCAAGUAUGCCAGUAAGAAAUUGUUGUCUCGGCUGCCAAGGUCCAAUGCCAGGGCCGUGUGGGCCUCAUGCAUCACGUAUGGAUUCAGGUACAGCAGCCUGUUGUGUGCAUGCAAUUGGUGCAAACUGCAGGGGUCCGUGCGGAGAACUUGGCUGCAUUCAUGGAGCCCGUGGUGGAGUAGCUGGCUCCUAUUACAGUUGCGGACACGGUUGUAUAGGAGGUUGUAUCAGUGGUCUCUGCCGCUCUUGCUGUGGUCCGGCUUGUUCCUAAAUUUAGCGAACCAAUUGUAUUCUAAUAUUGUAUACGUCAUUUAAUAAACUCAAAGUUCAAAACAAUAUUUCAAAAAUAUUUUGAAUAUUUUGAUCUUGCUGUGGUCUCCUAAUAUUGUACAUACACGUCUUUUUAUACUCUCAAUGCUCAAGAAUAUUUUACUGUACUCAGAUUUCCGCAUUAAAAACGUCACAUAAAUUAU